GACGAACGCUGGCGGCGUGCUUAACACAUGCAAGUCGAACGAUGAAGCCUAGCUUGCUAGGUGGAUUAGUGGCGAACGGGUGAGUAAUACGUGAGUAACCUACCUUUAACUCUGGGAUAAGCCUGGGAAACUGGGUCUAAUACCGGAUACGACCAAUCUCCGCAUGGGGUGUUGGUGGAAAGCGUUAUGUAGUGGUUAUAGAUGGGCUCACGGCCUAUCAGCUUGUUGGUGAGGUAACGGCUCACCAAGGCGACGACGGGUAGCCGGCCUGAGAGGGUGACCGGCCACACUGGGACUGAGACACGGCCCAGACUCCUACGGGAGGCAGCAGUGGGGAAUAUUGCACAAUGGGCGCAAGCCUGAUGCAGCGACGCCGCGUGAGGGAUGACGGCCUUCGGGUUGUAAACCUCUGUUAGCAGGGAAGAAGAGAGAUUGACGGUACCUGCAGAGAAAGCGCCGGCUAACUACGUGCCAGCAGCCGCGGUAAUACGUAGGGCGCGAGCGUUGUCCGGAAUUAUUGGGCGUAAAGAGCUUGUAGGCGGUUUGUCGCGUCUGCUGUGAAGGCCGGAGCUUAACUCCGUGUAUUGCAGUGGGUACGGGCAGACUAGAGUGCAGUAGGGGAGACUGGAAUUCCUGGUGUAGCGGUGGAAUGCGCAGAUAUCAGGAGGAACACCGAUGGCGAAGGCAGGUCUCUGGGCUGUAACUGACGCUGAGAAGCGAAAGCAUGGGGAGCGAACAGGAUUAGAUACCCUGGUAGUCCAUGCCGUAAACGUUGGGCACUAGGUGUGGGGGACAUUCCACGUUUUCCGCGCCGUAGCUAACGCAUUAAGUGCCCCGCCUGGGGAGUACGGCCGCAAGGCUAAAACUCAAAGAAAUUGACGGGGGCCCGCACAAGCGGCGGAGCAUGCGGAUUAAUUCGAUGCAACGCGAAGAACCUUACCAAGGCUUGACAUAUACUGGACUGCAUCAGAGAUGGUGUUUCCCUUCGGGGCUGGUAUACAGGUGGUGCAUGGUUGUCGUCAGCUCGUGUCGUGAGAUGUUGGGUUAAGUCCCGCAACGAGCGCAACCCUCGUUCUAUGUUGCCAGCACGUUAUGGUGGGGACUCAUAGGAGACUGCCGGGGUCAACUCGGAGGAAGGUGGGGAUGACGUCAAAUCAUCAUGCCCCUUAUGUCUUGGGCUUCACGCAUGCUACAAUGGCCGGUACAGAGGGUUGCGAUACUGUGAGGUGGAGCUAAUCCCUAAAAGCCGGUCUCAGUUCGGAUUGGGGUCUGCAACUCGACCCCAUGAAGUCGGAGUCGCUAGUAAUCGCAGAUCAGCAACGCUGCGGUGAAUACGUUCCCGGGCCU
This 1347-nucleotide ribosomal RNA is filed under the name uncultured bacterium. RNAcentral describes it as "bacterial SSU rRNA". It matches the Rfam family "Bacterial small subunit ribosomal RNA", at positions 28 to 1381 of the family's 1533-position model. The record is from RNAcentral.